AGGAAUAUUGGUCAAUGGGCGAGAGCCUGAACCAGCCAAGUAGCGUGAAGGAUGACUGCCCUAUGGGUUGUAAACUUCUUUUAUAAAGGAAUAAAGUCGGGUAUGGAUACCCGUUUGCAUGUACUUUAUGAAUAAGGAUCGGCUAACUCCGUGCCAGCAGCCGCGGUAAUACGGAGGAUCCGAGCGUUAUCCGGAUUUAUUGGGUUUAAAGGGAGCGUAGAUGGAUAUUUAAGUCAGUUGUGAAAGUUUGCGGCUCAACCGUAAAAUUGCAGUUGAUACUGGAUAUCUUGAGUGCAGUUGAGGCAGGCGGAAUUCGUGGUGUAGCGGUGAAAUGCUUAGAUAUCACGAAGAACUCCGAUUGCGAAGGCAGCCUGCUAAGCUGCAACUGACAUUGAGGCUCGAAAGUGUGGGUAUCAAACAGGAUUAGAUACCCUGGUAGUCCACACGGUAAACGAUGAAUACUCGCUGUUUGCGAUAUACUGCAAGCGGCCAAGCGAAAGCGUUAAGUAUUCCACCUGGGGAGUACGCCGGCAACGGUGAAACUCAAAGGAAUUGACGGGGGCCCGCACAAGCGGAGGAACAUGUGGUUUAAUUCGAUGAUACGCGAGGAACCUUACCCGGGCUUAAAUUGCAGAUGAAUUACGGUGAAAGCCGUAAGCCGCAAGGCAUCUGUGAAGGUGCUGCAUGGUUGUCGUCAGCUCGUGCCGUGAGGUGUCGGCUUAAGUGCCAUAACGAGCGCAACCCUUGUUGUCAGUUACUAACAGGUUCCGCUGAGGACUCUGACAAGACUGCCAUCGUAAGAUGUGAGGAAGGUGGGGAUGACGUCAAAUCAGCACGGCCCUUACGUCCGGGGCUACACACGUGUUACAAUGGGGGGUACAGAGGGCCGCUACCACGCGAGUGGAUGCCAAUCCCCAAAACCUCUCUCAGUUCGGACUGGAGUCUGCAACCCGACUCCACGAAGCUGGAUUCGCUAGUAAUCGCGCAUCAGCCACGGCGCGGUGAAUACGUUCCCG
This 1016-nucleotide ribosomal RNA is filed under the name uncultured bacterium. RNAcentral describes it as "bacterial SSU rRNA". It matches the Rfam family "Bacterial small subunit ribosomal RNA", at positions 357 to 1376 of the family's 1533-position model. The record is from RNAcentral.